UAAAAACUGGCCUCAGGUGGUCUUGGACACUUUCUGAAGAAUGAAAGAUCGGUGUGCCACUUUUCCUCAUCUCUUAUCAUGGAGCUCCCUGUGUAUGAGACACCUUAACACACUGCCUAUAUAGCAGUCUUUAAGCCAAGGGAAUGGGACCUUUCAGAAUGGCACCUUGCUUAACUGAGUGGUUGUGCUGACUGAAUUUUUCCAUUGCUGAAGAAUCCAUCAGAGCCUCUGAACCUUCAUAACCUUCACAGAGCUGCAGAGGUGGCUGAAAUAUCCAGUACUGGCUAAACAGACUACUUCAGCAAAUCAAUUAGGUGACUAUUUAGUAAUUCUUAUUCAUAGGUUUAGACUAUUUCAGCUUACGAAAUCCCUCACGACAGAGUUGUUAAUAGGCUCAGGUGGUCCAUUCUAAUGAAUAUAUUAGUCUAUAGGACCAAGUUUUUAAGUAUAUUUUCUGUGCCAGUAAAGCUAUCACUAUUUUUCAGGAGUUGAAUCAUGAUUUUUUGAGAUUUCUGCUGAUGUUGUUGAAGGAGAAGAAUAUAGGCCAGGUUGUAACUACCUUAAAAUAUUCACGUAUCAUUCUCAUAUCUGACAGAGCCCAUCAGCAGAAAGUUGUGUGGCAGUUCAGCUUUGCCUGUCAGAGCAAGUUUGACUGAUAGGUGAGGGAAAUUCACUGUUAAUAAUAAUAAUAAAUAAUAAUAUGAAGAUCCUUUAGGUCUAGUUGGAAGUAGCAGCUGACCUGCCAACUCUUUUUUCGCUAGUUUGUAAAGAAAUUUAAGAUAGAUCUAAUAUACCUUUUUUUAAUAUUAAAAUAGAUAUUAGUGGAUAAAUUGGGUUGGUAUAAUGUGCUUUUUCCAUGAAAGAAGCUCUGUCAAAUGCAUUUUUUGGUGAAAAAUCUCAUGGCUCCAGUUAUUCUUGAUGUAGAGUUCUUGAUCUGUGGAGCCCUGGGUAGUAAAGCUCGGUAUGUAGCACACACAGAUGGCUUUUAGAAAUGUUUUUACAUCUUCUCUCUGAAGCCUACCCUUCAUGAGAUAGGCUUCAAAUAAUUGGGUUCAAUUCUGAAAUACAGAAGGCAGUCCUGAACUGUUUUGAGCACUGUCAAAUCCUAGUAACAUCAGCGGGAGAGCCAGAAGUUCUCACAGUGAGCUCUGAGCAAGAAGGAAACAUACUCUUUGUGCAGUUCCUUUCGAUUUCAGCAGGCUUGCAAUAUUUGCCCACAUAUAGAAGUUCUCAUUGGUUUGAUCUUGGUGAAAAUGUGUACUGUAUAGCCCUUCUCAAAUAUUUUAGAGAAACAUGGGAGGAGGAGAAUCUUUGAUAUGAAUCACAUUCUGCACCUUCUUGCAAAGUUGGUCAUUGAGUCUUAGCACUAGCAGGGCAAAAUAGAGCUGAUGUAAGAUGAUGACUGUGUUUUCAAAGGUAAUGUUUACAGUAACAGUUCUUCACUUUCCUACAUAUCAUUGCAAAACAUUUGUGAAGUGUAUCUCUUGGAUGCAAAGUGCUGAGAAGCAAUGGUAACGAAGGAUGGGGAAAAAAGUAAUUAAAAAGCUGAGCAUAUAUAUGCUAGAUAUGGAUGAAGAUAGUAUAAUCCGGUGCUUUCUGUUAUAGAGAUCCCAUUUGAAAUUGUAUACAACUUAGAAUUUAGAAGUAUUUGUGGUAGACUUCUUCAAGCCAAACAUCUGCCUCAGGCUGCGUUAUGGGGAAGUUUCAAGUUGGUUCAUUUCUGAAACUGAGUCUAAGGAGUAAAGUGUUUUGCUCAUAUUGAAAUAAAUGCAUAUCUGUUUUAUUUUUGAAGCUCCAGCCUGUGUUUUCAAGCAGAGACUUUAAAUUUGUCAGGGCAUCCAUCCAUGUCUACAAUUAGCUAUGUUAAAUUCUGCAUUUUUUGCUCAAGUUGGGCACCUCUGAAAACGUGAACUCUCUCACUCAUCAGGCACUCAUUGUCAAAGCCUAAUGGCUGAGCUGAAGAUUCACAGAGGUGUUUAGCCUUCUGAUGAACUGUAGGUUUUGGAGGCAAGGGGCAGAUAUUUAGGAAGGAGUGGUAAGCCUAAGUGUAAUUGUGUACAUUGUUCCAAGACCGAAUGUUCUGUCUCACGCAGCAUCUUCUGUCCCUUCGUGUGUUUUUGAUGCUUGCUUAACUGAAGACACUUCAUCUUAGAGCUUUGGUAUCUGAACUGGUCAUUCCCUGUAAUUAAUCUUUCCUAUUGCAGCAGUGUGUGGUGCCAAGACUGAUUUUCCCCUUGCCUUCUCAGGGUUCUUGAUAUUGUAGCCUGAAGGAGAGCUAGUAUGAUUGACAUGCAAGGAGGAUGAGGUUUCAGGCAGUAACCAGAUUAGGGGCCCAAGUAAGGGGGAGGCAAGGAUGGAGAGGUGGAAGCUGGAAGGAGUAGGUGGAAUAGAAAGUAGGAGCAGAUUUUGGAAGAAUAGAAGAGAGAGGAAGGGGGCUGGUGCGUGUGGUGCAUCGGGAAAGAGCAGGUCAGGGGGAGGGCAAGCAGAGCUGAGAUUAAACAGGACCAAGGAGGUGGGAGAACAGGACUGGGCAAGAUGGAUGGAACAGGAGAAAAGGGGAAGUGCUAAAGUGGGUGGAUAUGAAUGAAAAUAGAGACAGGAGCUGUGGCCUGGGGUACUACUUUUUUUUCUCAUCAAGUACAAAUUCCAGGAUGAAAGAGAACCAGGAUUAGGCUUGCUUGAGUUACGUCUGUCGGGCAGAUUAAAUAUUUGUUUGAUGAUGUAUUUGUAAAUACCGGCUUCUGUCAGAUUCUGAUCCUGUUUGAUUUUGUCUAUUAAAAUAUUAUGUGUAUUUUUGGCAUACUACUGUUUUACUGUCUGAGAAUAAAAAAAAAUGUAAUUGUUAGUCUCCUAGUUUGAUUAGAAUAUUACAUGUUAGUAGUUUUACUGAAUUUCUCUUGUGCUUAUUAUUUUUGGUAUUUAAGUGCAAGGCUCUCUGUGUAGACUUUCAGCAGUGAGCCUGCAUAGGUGGUCUUGUUUCUACUAAACAUGAUAGCUGCAAUAGAAAUCUCUUUCUUCUAUGCAAUUGUUGUAAUUCCUUGCUUUUUCUUGCUGUACCCUAGUUGCAGAGAUACUCAAGAGAGGGAAAGUGAGCAUUACAAAAACAUACGUAUGGAUCCAGAUUAAAUAUUUUAUUCCAUGAUCAGCAGUAAAGUGGCCUUUUAGUAAUAAAGCAUGCCUCCGCUAUGGGUCAAAGCUAAACUCAGAGGCAAGGCUCAUCCUCCCCCACCAAUACCAGCAUUACUAAUUAAAUAGCUGCCACGGAGGGUUGUUUGGGAAAGGAGUGCUUGUGUGAGUGGAAGCAGGGGAAUCUUCCUGUUUGAAGACAGUAGACCAGGUUCCCCCACCAGCUGCUGCUCCAGUGUCUUAACUUAUUUGUUCUAUUACCAUAACUUCCCUCUUACCCAUAGCUAACUCCCAGUAAAGGCACCUCACAUCCAGCAGGAAAGGAAAAGAACAGAUAUUCUGCCCUGAAAGUGGUCUGACAGGAUUAGUGUGAAAGCUCUGCAACUGACAUUCCACUUCUCCCCACUCAAGCCUCCCUGCUCUCGCUCAUAAUUUUAUGUUAUUUCCUUAGGCAGCAAGUGGUCUGGGACCUGAAAUAUUGAGUUUAUAUCUAACCAUGGGGAAGAUAUGUGACAGUUGCUUCAAAACAGCUUGUACUGUGCAUCUCCUCACUCAGUCAACUCUCCUUGGUUUUCUGUCUAGUUUCUUAUUGACACUUCUCAUUUCAGAAAGCAAACAACCAGCAUUCUUGAGGAGUACCUGUAGCUUUCUGUUGUCUUUAAAUGGAAUAAUUUUCCCAGAAAAUAAAAUUACUUAAAACUGACAUGCACUCAUUUUGCUAAGAAUGUUGGAGGUGAAGUUUCCCUGGCUGUUGGAUGACAUUGUUCUUCAGACUUGUUAGGAAUGAAAGUGAAAGAUUGUUAGUUGUGGCUUAUUUCUGCAAAACAGUGUAUUUGUACUCUGCCAACUAUGAUUUCAACUGGAAAUAGUUGGUCUGUUUGUGUAUUCAUAUACAUUAACAAAAUAGAAAAAUUAAUAAUUCUAGCAUGCUUACCUCAAGCUGUCUUGUUUUCAGGUGUUCAUAUAUAAAGCUGUCUUAAACCAUCUCAAGAAGUGUGGGCAAAGUUGAGAUUUCCUGUUCUGAGGAUGAAAGCCAGGACAGGGAAGCCAUGCUGCCAUGGGAAGAGGAUAGGGGAAGCACUGAUAUGAGCCGCCCUUUCUUCCUUCUCCAGGUGGCUGCUGCAUAUAUAUUCCAGCUCCUUUUUUUUUAAAAAAAAAAAAAAAAAAAAAAACAAACUCAGUAGGGUAGGAGGAGUUGUCAACACAGCUGUCCUUGCAGAGAUGAGGUGAAGUAGGUGCUGGAACAGUUGUUACACUGCUCCUCCCAGCUGUAUGGUACCCUAUGGGAACUGCU
Molecule: long non-coding RNA, 4420 nt
Organism: Gallus gallus (chicken)
Lineage: Eukaryota; Metazoa; Chordata; Aves; Galliformes; Phasianidae
Source: Ensembl